Molecule: long non-coding RNA, 1524 nt
Organism: Oncorhynchus tshawytscha (Chinook salmon)
Lineage: Eukaryota; Metazoa; Chordata; Actinopteri; Salmoniformes; Salmonidae
Source: Ensembl
UAAUUGACUGUCAGGGAUUCUAGAAUACUCAUGGCCAACAUCUGUCUGACUGUCAGGGAUUCUAGAAUAAUCAUAGCCAGCAUCUGUCUGACUGUCAGGGAUUCUAGAAUACUCAUGGCCAGCAUCUGUCUGACUGUCAGGGAUUCUAGAAUACUCAUGGCCAGCAUCUGACUGUCAGGGAUUCCAGAAUACUCAUGACCAGCAUCUGUCUGACUGUCAGGGAUUCUAGAAUACUCAUGGCCAGCAUCUGACUGUCAAGAAUUCUAUAAUACUCAUGGCCAGCAUCGGACUGUCAGGGAUUCUAGAAUACUCAUGGCCAGCAUCUGUCUGACUGUCAGGGAUUCUAGAAUACUCAUGGCCAACAUCUGUCUGACUGUCAGGGAUUCUAGAAAACUCAUGGCCAGCAUCUGACUGUCAGGGAUUCCAGAAUACUCAUGGCCAGCAUCUGUCUGACUGUCACUCCACAAAGGUAGUGUCACAUAGAAACACAGAGACUGUUGAUGCUGGGGAUAAUUGUGCAUGACUGUGACUCAGACAAUACGAUCUCUUCCUUUGAGAUGAAUCAAAGAGUGUUUCAGUGUUUGAGGGUGAAGUUUGGUGUGAGCUGCAGUUAAAAUAACCUCUGGAAAGACCUGACCAUAGGUAGUAGUGGUAUCAGCACUAUAAGUCAUUCCAGGGACAUAAUCCCCACCACUGUUUCUGUAAAAUGUUGAGGCAUGGGGAUGGUGAAAUGUAAUCAAUGUAAAAUGGAGGCUCUAAGCUCAUGAUGCAUUUAUAAGUUAUAUUCUUCAAAAAUCAACAGGUACAUAUCAUAGUGUAUAAGUCAAAAAAUUGAUGUAGAAACUGCACUUUGCCCUUUAAUGUGACUGUACCACAAUAGUCUAUCAGUCCAUCAGUUAACUUCUGAUGACCCUGUUAUUCUGUCACCUACAAUGCAUCGAGGCAGUGCCAGCCAGGACCUGACAUCUGCAUUUGAGCAGAGAUGCAAGGCCUACUGGGAGGUUGGGUCAUGUGUGCUGCCCCAAGUGACAUCAUUCCCAGUCUGGGCCAACUUCUGACACACUUCCCAAUCUAGAGAAUAAUAAAUAAAUACAUAAAUAAAUAAAUAAAGGUGGAUGAAUAAAAUAUGACUGCAGCCAACGGCGUUCACAGUCCAGGUACCCCAGACUCACAGAGAGACCUACACAAUUAACACUCACAUGACACACUCAGUGGGCACACACACACACACAAUGAAUAAAUAAAAUAACGUGUAACCUUAGUGGUCUCUCACAUCUCUUCAUAAUUCAUCUGCGUGCACACAGUCAUCUCUAGGCAAAUCUCAUGCCCUUUUAGAUGACAGGGAGGUAGAGAGAGAGAGAGAGAGAGAGAGAGAGAGAGAGAGAGAGAGAGAGAGAGAGAGAGAGAGAGAGAGAGAGAGAGAGAGAGAGAGACAGAGACAGAGAGAGAGAGAGAGAGAGAGAGAGAGAGAGAGACAGACAGAGACAGAGAGAGAGAGAGAGAGAGACAGAGACAGAGAGAGAC